UACGGAGGGUGCGAGCGUUAUCCGGAAUUAUUGGGCGUAAAGAGCUCGUAGGCGGUUUGUCGCGUCUGCUGUGAAAACCCGAGGCUCAACCUCGGGCCUGCAGUGGGUACGGGCAGACUAGAGUGAUGUAGGGGAGACUGGAAUUCCUGGUGUAGCGGUGAAAUGCGCAGAUAUCAGGAGGAACACCGAUGGCGAAGGCAGGUCUCUGGGCAUUAACUGACGCUGAGGAGCGAAAGCAUGGGGAGCGAACAGG
RNAcentral lists this ribosomal RNA (253 nucleotides) under uncultured bacterium. Its description in RNAcentral is "partial 16S ribosomal RNA". It matches the Rfam family "Bacterial small subunit ribosomal RNA", at positions 524 to 776 of the family's 1533-position model. The record is from RNAcentral.